AAACUGGAAAACCAAAUAAUGUUUAUCUUCUCAAGGUCACCUUGGAUUAAUCUCGGUCUUUGAGAGAAGGAAGAGGAACUAUGGCUGCUGAAACUUCUGUCCAGGAGCCAACAAUCUUUGAACAGGUAACUGUGUCUUUGACGGAGGAAAAAGAAUUCAUUUGGGAUCCCUACCUCUUUGCCCUCAGCGGCAGCAAUCUCCAGCAGUACUGCACCAUGCUGUCCUGCUUGGAUCAGCAGAAUCCUAAGCCUGAAGUGUUUUGGAAGACAUCCCAGGGCAUGUCUGUGCCCCUCUCUCUGGUCCAGGUUGUGGAGGAAUUCGAAGUUUUGCCGUACUCCUAUCGAGAUGGACACAAGAGGACAAUGCAAGCAAAAUCGCAUGAGCCCCCGCUGCCAGGAAGCAGUAGGAACCUGGUGCAUCUGCGGUAUAAUUUCAUGCCAAAUUUUACAAGAGGUGUCCUCAGGAGAAAACCCUCCAGCUGUUCAGCGGCUUCCAAGCUCCAACAAGAAGUUGAGACAAAGAGCCCGGAG
This 530-nucleotide long non-coding RNA is filed under the name Pogona vitticeps (central bearded dragon). Its description in RNAcentral is "lncRNA (ENSPVIG00000004086.1)". The record is from RNAcentral. Lineage: Eukaryota; Metazoa; Chordata; Lepidosauria; Squamata; Agamidae.